AAUAUAUUAGAAUAAUUACAAAUAUAUCUUCAACAAAUCUCAAUCAAGUUCUAAUUUAAUCCUAGUUGAAAUCCUAAUGGACUGCAAUCAAAUCCUAGACAAAUCCUAAAUCUUAAACUAAAUUCUAAAUCAAAUCCAAGAUAAAUCUAAAAUCCUAAAUCAAAUCAUAGAUAAAUCCUAAAUCCUAAAUUAAAUCCUCAAUCAAACCUUAGUUUUUAAAUCAAACCCUAAAUCAAAUCUUAAACAAACUCUAAAACCUAAAUCAAAUCUUAAAUCAAAUACUAGAUUCUUAAUUAAAUCCUAAAUCAAAUCUUAGAUCAAAUUUUAGAUCCUAAACCAAAUCCUAAAUAAAUCUUAAAUCCUAAAUCUUAAAGCAAAUCCUAGAUCAAAUCCUAAACAAAUCUUGAACUUUAAAUCAAAUCCUAAAUAAAUCCUAAAUCCUAAACCAAAUCCUACACAAAUCAUAAAAUCUAAAUCAAAACUUAAACAAAUCCUAAAUCAAAUCCUAAAUAAAUCCUAAAUCUUAAACCAAAUCCUAAACAAAUCCUAAAUCCUAAACUAAAUCCUAAAUCAAAUAUUAAUCCUACUUAAUCUAAGUUUAAUUCAAUUUAGAAUCUAAAUAUCUAUCAAUUAUAUCAUUGACCUUGCUUUAAAAUUUAUAUUUCUUUUAAAAACUUAGCAAGAAACAAGAAUAAAAAAUUUAAAGAUAAUUGCACUUAAAAAAUAGAAGAAAAAUCCUAAAAUCUACUCAAGUAUUACCCAGCCUUUUACACCAAUCAAAAUGUUGAAUUUUUAGUACCAAUAUCUCUUCAUUAAAUCAUUCAAUUGUCUUUAAAUUUCAUAUUUGUAUAGAAAAUCAAGUCUAUUGCCUUUAAACACAAAUUUUACCUAAAUCUAAUUAGGAAAUUACUAAAAAUCUUAGAAAACCUAAUUGCAUUUCAAAGUUCAAUUUUUGAAACCUCAACCUACUUGAAAUUCAAUAGCCUUUAAUUCAACUAUUUAAUCAAGCUCAAACUUAUAGCAUAUACUUUAAACAACUAUUUUCAUAAGUCAUCAAAAUUUGAACUAUAGAUCUACUACCAACCUCACGAAAUUCUCCAAAACACAACAUCUUUUUUAUUUUACAAAUUUCAGAGUCAUCCAAAAAAAUUGUGACUUUGAGAAGCUCUUACAAAGUCAUUACACACUUAAUUUCCUCAAAACCAAUAAUUAUAAAAACUCUAUCAAGUUUUUUCUCAAAAUUUACUCUUUGAUUUGCCAAAAAACUCUCGAAUUGUCAUCGAUUCCUAAUUUUGUGCCUCAAGGUCUGAUUUCGAUCCAUGUUGAUAACCAAUCCUUUUUGGAUAACAAAUUUUGUUAUUUUGAAUUAAAUUUUGUUCCAAUCAACUUCUAAAUUCUUCUUACAUAUGCAUAUAUUCUUUAUUUUUCUAAUCUAUCUUAUUUUGCCUUAUUUAUGGCCUUAUAAAAUAAGUAGAAGCCUAUUUUAUAAAAAUAUAAUAU
Molecule: long non-coding RNA, 1500 nt
Filed under: Physcomitrium patens
Lineage: Eukaryota; Viridiplantae; Streptophyta; Bryopsida; Funariales; Funariaceae
Description: long non-coding RNA (PPAT_LNC001152)
Source: RNAcentral